AAAGAUUUAGUUUAUUGAAAACAUUAAUUUGUCAAAUUAAAAAAAUAAAAUUUAUAAUCUUUU
Molecule: transfer RNA, 63 nt
Filed under: Seasogonia rosea
Lineage: Eukaryota; Metazoa; Arthropoda; Insecta; Hemiptera; Cicadellidae
Description: tRNA-Asp
Source: RNAcentral